AUUGUACUCCCUCAAUUCCAUAAUUCUUGUCGAAAUAUUACAUGUAUUUAGACGCUUUUUAGGAAUAGAUUCAUCCAUUUUUUGACAAAUUUUAGACAAGAAUUAUGGGAUGGAGGGAGUAACAU
This is a non-coding RNA of Brachypodium distachyon (stiff brome), 125 nucleotides long. The record is from Rfam. NCBI's taxonomy places the organism in Eukaryota, Viridiplantae, Streptophyta, Magnoliopsida, Poales, Poaceae.